CCCAUUUCCACUCCCCCUAUCUCCCCCUCCUUUAUUUCUCUCUCCCUCUCUCUCGGUCAGAGGAAAUUGUAUGAAGCGAGGGCAGAAAGCAGGUCACAUGACUGCUGUAUGUCAGCAUCCACGAGGGUCCUGAGGGAGUCCUGGCAGACACAGCUGUGGUUUGGCCAUCCUCACAGAUGCUUGUCUGACUCUGACACAUCUGACUGGGGUUGGCUGGAUCGCCUCCCGAAUGGCGCAGCGGUCUAAUGCACUGCAGUGCUUGAGGCGUCACUACAGAUCUGGGUUCAAUCCCAGGCUGUGUCGCAGCCGGCCACGACCAGGAGACCCAUGAGGCAACGCAAAAUUGGGCCAGCAUCUUCCAGGUUAGGGGAGGGAUUGGCCGGCUGGGAUGUCCUUGUCCCAUCGCUCUCUAGCGACUCCUGUGAGGGCCGGCCACAUGCACUUUGACACGGUCGCAGUUGUACGGUGUUUUCUCCGACACAUUGGUGUGGCUGGCUUCCAGGUUAAGUGGGCAGUGUGUCAAGAAGCAGUGCGGCUUUGCAGAGUCAUGUUUCGGGGGACGCAUGGCUCUUGACCUUCGCCUCUCUCUCGAGUCCGUACGGGAGUUGCAGCGAUGGGACAAGACUGUAGCUACCAAUUGGAUAUCAUGAAAUUGGGGGUAAAAAGUUGUCUGGACUUCGCUGAAGACCCGUUGAUCUCUACAUUACUCCCUUUUUGUAUAGACACCUAAGUUGCCUAACCCAUUCACGGGAUUGGUUAACACUUGAAGUUCCUUGUGUCUCCACCGAGCUAGGUAAAUUCACUUUUAGUUUUAAUGUACCGUGUUGCUGGAACAAAAUUUCUCUGUUCUGGUUCCGUUUGGCAAUUUAAGUAUGGAUUGGAGGAAUGUAACUGUUUUUCUGUAUGAUUUGUAGUGUUUUAUUUGUGCUUCCCAUGACUAUAUUUAUGUACAGUGGGGCAAAAAAGUAUUUAGUCAGCCACCAAUUGUGCAAGUUCUCCCACUUAAAAAUAUGAGAGAGGCCUGUCAUUUUCAUUAUAGGUACACUUCAACUAUGACAGACAAAAUGAGAAGAAAAAAAAUCCAGAAAAUCACAUUGUAGGAUUUUUAAUGAAUUUAUUUGCAAAUUAUGGAGGAAAAUAAGUAUUUGGUCACCUACAAACAAACAAGAUUUUUGGCUCUCACAGACCUGUAACUUCUUCUUUAAGAAGCUCCUCUGUCCUCCACUCGUUACCUGUAUUAAUGGCACCUGUUUGAACUUGUUAUCAGUAUAAAAGACACCUGUCCACAACCUCAAACAGUCACACUCCAAACUCCACUGUGGCCAAGACCAAAGAGCUGUCAAAGGACACCAGAAACAAAAUUGUAGACCUGCACCAGGCUGGGAAGACAAUAGGUAAGCAAUAGGUCUGCAAUAGGUAAGCAGCUUGGUUUGAAGAAAUCAACUGUGGGAGCAAUUAUUAGGAAAUGGAAGACAUUCAAGACCACUGAUAUUCUCCCUCGAUCUGGGGCUCCACGCAAGAUCUCACCCCGUGGGGUCAAAAUGAUCACAAGAACGGUGAGCAAAAAUCCCAGAACCACACGGGGGGACCUAGUGAAUGACCUGCAGAGAGCUGGGACCAAAGUAACAGCCUACCAUCAGUAACACACUACGCCGCCAGGGACUCAAAUCCUGCAGUGCCAGACGUGUCCCCCUGCUUAAGCCAGUACAUGUUCAGGCCCGUCUGAAGUUUGCUAGAGAGCAUUUGGAUGAUCCAGAAGAAGAUUGGGAGAAUGUCAUAUGGUCAGAUGAAACCAAAAUAUAACUUUUUGGUAAAAACUCAACUCGUCGUGUUUGGAGGACAAAGAAUGCUGAGUUGCAUCCAAAGAACACCAUACCUACUGUGAAGCAUGGGGGUGGAAACAUCAUGCGUUGGGGCUGUUUUUCUGCAAAGGGACCAGGACGACUGAUCCGUGUAAAGGAAAGAAGGAAUGGGGCCAUGUAUCAUGAGAUUUUGAGUGAAAACCUCCUUCCAUCAGCAAGGGCAUUGAAGAUUAAACGUGGCUGGGUCUUUCAGCAUGACAAUGAUCCCAAACACACUGCCCGGGCAACGAAGGAGUGGCUUCUUAAGAAGCAUUUCAAGGUCCUGGAGUGGCCUAGCCAGUCUCCAGGUCUCAACCCCAUAGAAAAUCUUUGGAGGGAGUUGAAAGUCCGUGUUGCCCAGCAACAGCCCCAAAACAUCACUGCUCUAGAGGAGAUCUGCAUGGAGGAAUGGGCCAAAAUAUCAGCAACAGUGUGUGAAAACCUUGUGAAGACUUACAGAAAAGGUUUGACCUCUGCCAUUGCCAACAAAGGGUAUAUAACAAAGUAUUGAGAUAAACUUUUGUUAUUGACCAAAUACUUAUUUUCUACCAUAAUUUGCAAAUAUAUUCAUUAAAAAUCCUACAAUGUGAUUUUCUGGAUUUGUUUUUCUCAUUUUGUCUGUCAUAGUUGAAGUGUACCUAUGAUGAAAAUUACAGGCCUCUCAUAUUUUUAAGUGGGAGAACUUGCACAAUUGGUGGCUGACUAAAUACUUUCUUGCCCCACUGUAUUUUAUUGUGUAUAUGUCUGGGUAUAAUGUGUAUAUUUCUAUGUUCUAUUAUACAGGCCACAUUUGUAAAAGAGACCUAGGUCUCAAUACGUUUUACCUGUUCAAAUAAAGGUGAAAUAAAAUGUAAAAAAAUGUAAAACCAAAUAUUUGCAACACUCCCAAAAACCAACAGACAAAUUACAUUUAUCCAAUAUCACUUUAUUGUUUUUUUAAAAAUCAAUCACAUUGUUUACUGUGCUUUAAAUGUUUACAGAUUAAAGUGUGUGUUGAGGUACUGUC
This is a long non-coding RNA of Oncorhynchus nerka (sockeye salmon), 2847 nucleotides long. RefSeq lists it as uncharacterized. The transcript is spliced from 2 exons. Lineage: Eukaryota; Metazoa; Chordata; Actinopteri; Salmoniformes; Salmonidae. The record is from RefSeq and is a predicted model, not a curated record.